CAAAGGUAGCAUAAUCAAUUGGCUUUUAAUUAAAGUCUAGUAUGAAUGAACGCAUGGGUAGUUACUGUCUAAAGGACGUUAAUACAAAAUUAUUAAGUUGGUGCAAAUACCAACAAAAUUAAAAAAGACGAGAAGACCCUAGAAACUAAUAGUUAAUUUUGCUGGGGCGGCAGAAUUGCAUAUAACCAAUUUUAAUUAACGUGAAGCAAGGCAGAAAGAAAAAGUUACUCUAGGGAUAACAGCAUAAUUUUAAUAGUUUGUGACCUCGAUGUUGGACUAGGGAUUCUACCCCCUAGAAGGGGGUAGUUAUAGCUCUGUUCGAGCUCUUAGCCCCUACGUGAUCUGAGUUCAAA
RNAcentral lists this ribosomal RNA (353 nucleotides) under Codringtonia eucineta. RNAcentral describes it as "partial large subunit ribosomal RNA". It matches the Rfam family "Archaeal large subunit ribosomal RNA", at positions 2028 to 2684 of the family's 2987-position model. The record is from RNAcentral. Lineage: Eukaryota; Metazoa; Mollusca; Gastropoda; Stylommatophora; Helicidae.